GCGGAUGGCUGGAUGAUCGCGGGCCGGUAACGGGUCGAGGAAAGUCCGGACUCCAGUAAAGCACGGUGCCGGGUAACGCCCGGCGGGGGCAACCCCAGGGAAAGCGCCACAGAAAACAGACGGCCUUGCAUGCAGGGUCAAGGUGAAACGGUGGGGUAAGAGCCCACCGCGCGACGGGCAACCGAAGCGGCACGGCAAGCCCCACCGGGAGCAAUGCCAAAUAGGGAUCGCGUGCCUUCGGGCGGGGUGGCUUGCACCCCAGCAGAUCCGGGUUGGCAGCUAGAGGCACGUUGGCAACAGCGCGUCCAGAUGAAUGAUCAUCCAUCCGUGGCAACACGGGGGACAGAAUCCGGCUUACAGGCCAUCCGCGCAC
RNAcentral lists this RNase P RNA (373 nucleotides) under Cognatiyoonia koreensis. RNAcentral's name for it is "Loktanella koreensis Bacterial RNase P class A". It matches the Rfam family "Bacterial RNase P class A". Rfam says of the family: Ribonuclease P (RNase P) is a ubiquitous endoribonuclease, found in archaea, bacteria and eukarya as well as chloroplasts and mitochondria. Its best characterised activity is the generation of mature 5'-ends of tRNAs by cleaving the 5'-leader elements of precursor-tRNAs. Lineage: Bacteria; Pseudomonadati; Pseudomonadota; Alphaproteobacteria; Rhodobacterales; Paracoccaceae. The record is from Rfam by way of RNAcentral.